This is an RNA transcript of Homo sapiens (human), 3550 nucleotides long. It is a transcript of the gene named tRNA-yW synthesizing protein 3 homolog, with no coding region annotated. The transcript has 6 exons. The record is from RefSeq and is marked validated. NCBI's taxonomy places the organism in Eukaryota, Metazoa, Chordata, Mammalia, Primates, Hominidae.
CUUUUCGGCCACCGCUCGCUUCAAUAUGGCUGCCCCCAGGGAGAGACGAGGCUACCAUGAAGGAGCCGAGCGCAGACCCUGAGUCCGUCACCCAUGGAUCGCAGCGCGGAGUUCAGGAAAUGGAAGGCGCAAUGUUUGAGCAAAGCGGACCUCAGCCGGAAGGGCAGUGUUGACGAGGAUGUGGUAGAGCUUGUGCAGUUUCUGAACAUGCGAGAUCAGUUUUUCACCACCAGCUCCUGCGCUGGCCGCAUCCUACUCCUUGACCGGGUGAGGCCCCUUUGCGCCUGUCCAUCGCCUGCCUUCUAGUGCGAAACUUCAGGAGCCCUGUUCCCAUCCAGUGACGACCGGAUCCAGCAUGUCUGUGUUUGCUCCUCUGAGGGGGUAUAAAUGGUUUUGAGGUUCAGAAACAAAACUGUUGCUGGCUACUGGUUACACACAAACUUUGUGUAAAAGAUGAUGUGAUUGUAGCUCUGAAGAAAGCAAAUGGUGAUGCCACUUUGAAAUUUGAACCAUUUGUUCUUCAUGUGCAGUGUCGACAAUUGCAGGAUGCACAGAUUCUGCAUUCCAUGGCAAUAGAUUCUGGUUUCAGGAACUCUGGCAUAACGGUGGGAAAGAGAGGAAAAACUAUGUUGGCUGUCCGGAGUACACAUGGCUUAGAAGUUCCAUUAAGCCAUAAGGGAAAACUGAUGGUGACAGAGGAAUAUAUUGACUUCCUGUUAAAUGUGGCAAAUCAAAAAAUGGAGGAAAACAAGAAAAGAAUUGAGAGGUUUUACAACUGCCUACAGCAUGCUUUGGAAAGGGAAACGAUGACUAACUUACAUCCCAAGAUCAAAGAGAAAAAUAACUCAUCAUAUAUUCAUAAGAAAAAAAGAAACCCAGAAAAAACACGUGCCCAGUGUAUUACUAAAGAAAGUGAUGAAGAACUUGAAAAUGAUGAUGAUGAUGAUCUAGGAAUCAAUGUUACCAUCUUCCCUGAAGAUUACUAAGCUUUGGUUCUGAUGUGUCUUGGCCGUAAUGUUUCUAGUAGGUUUUAUAAAGCUGCUCUUCAUAAGAGUAUUUUAGUUUGUUGAGUGUAUCAGCCAUUCAUAAGCCAGUAAUGACAAGUGCAGAGCUUCAAACUAUAACUUUGUUGCCCAGAGGAUGUGCAGUUGUCAUCUAAGCUCUCAGCAGUACCCGGCUUAUCCUACGACUUCACCUGAAAUGCUAUAGUUAUCCCUACUUUUUUACCAGUUUCUCCCAGAAGCACCUGCUUAAUAAAUCAAAGAUGUUUGAAUGGUGUCUUAUUCUGAAAUAACCUGACCUAAGACAGGUAUUUAGAUUAUUUUGGAUACAUUUUGAAAAGGGAUAGCAUAAAUAUUUUAAGUAAAAAGACCUUUAUUUUAAAUAAUAGUGGAUAUUUUAAUGCUGGAAAUUAGCAUUAUAGUUGAUAUGCCAGAAAUUAUAUCUUUGGUUGUGAUUUAAACUUAUGCUAUAAACUAAAUUAAUGAUGUAAAUACAUAGUUUUAAACAUUCUUUUAGGGACAUGUAACUUUUAAGUAUCACUUCAAUAAUACGUAUUAUUAUAGGAACAAAGAUUUGGGAAUAAUUGAUUACAGGUGAGGAAGUACUGGAAUUCCAGUUCAAGGAGAUACCAUUUCAUUUAGGACUAAAAGGACAAGAUACAAGUUCACAUGAUGGGAAAAAUCAGAAAACCUCUCGCAGACAAAGGGUAUAUAAUGGAUAUGAGGCAUCAAAAAGCAUGGUAUAGUCAGUGAUGGGGAAUAGUCCAGAAAGGCUGAAACACAGCAUGUGAUGCGAGUCAAGGUAGUUGAUGCCCAACUGUGAAGGGCCGUUCUAAUCUAGCAUGGAGGUAGACAGUGUUUCCUUAAUAUGGCUGCAUAUCAGAAUUACCUAGGUCAGGACGAGGCAUGGAGAUGCUACUUUAAUAGGCCCUGCCGCAGAUCUUCCAAACCAGAAUCUUAAUCCUGGAGUCUAGGAAUCUUUAUUUUUCACACAACUCAUCCAAGUGGUUCUGAUAAAAUCAGUCCAGCACUUUUAGAACCCACUGAUAACAGACUUAUUCCUGGAGACAGCAUUUGAGGAGGAAUUGAAGAUUUUUCUAAUGAAAAGAAAAAGGGUCACAUGAACAGAUGUUGCAGUGUACCUGUGCCAGGGAUUUCAUGUGUACACUUUAUAGGAGAAUAAGCAAGAGCUUAGGUAAGUUAUAGUCCUUACCAUUGGGUCUAAGGCAGUUUCCAGGAAAGCAUGGCAACUCGUUCAGCUAUGUAAGUUGAACUCUGUACCACUUGGGAGGGAACAUUCCCCUAGAUGACAAUGUCAGUGGCACUCGAAGUUGUGCAGUGCACAUUCUUAUCUACCAACAUAUACAGCAGUCCUUCUGGGAAGGAAAUUUGGGCAGGAAAGGGAACUCACAGUGUCGGAAUGCCUGGAGCAUUUCUUCUAGUCUGGUGGACAGAAUAUGAAAGUAUCUGCCUGGCAGUGCAGUAAAUGAAAAGAGAAGAUAAAUGAAUAAAAAAAAAAGUUAUAAAUAACAGUAGGAAAGAGAGAGUGCAGGUGGAACGAGCCUAUCCUGUGGUGAAAUGACAACACAUUCUGCAGUUUUAAAAUCUAAGAGGCUCAUUGACUUUUCUUCAUUCAUUUAAAUUGAUCUCCAAGAAAACUAUGUAUUUUAAAGAUUCCAUAAACUGAAUAUAUGAAUGAGAAUUAAGAAGAGAGGGGCUGCUUCCUAAUCUGUUUAUAUAAGGUAUAGUAUAGUAUAAUCUGUUUAUAUAAGGUUAGUAGAGAGGAGACACCAGGUGCUGGCCAUAAACCUAAGAAGACAUUGAAUCCCAUUCACUCCUUAACAUUCCUUAAUAUACAUUCAUGAGCUACAUAACAUUUUAAUCAUCAAUGAUGGACCAUAUACCAUAUACGAUAUGGUGGCCCCAUAAGAUUAUAAUGGACCUGAAAAAUUCCUAUUGCUAGUGAUGUGGUCAUUGUAAAGCUGUAGCACAACACAUUACCCACGUUUGUGGUGACAGUCAUAUAAAAGUAUGGUACAUAUAAUUAUGUACAGUGCAUACAUAAUACUUGAUAAUAUGUUACUGGUUUGUGUCUUUGCUAUGCUUUUUAUCAUUAUUUUAGGGUAUACUACUUAAAAUGUUAACUGUAAAACAGCUUCUGACAGGUCCUUCAGGAAGUACUCCAGAAGAAGGCAUUGUUAUCAUAGAAGGUGACAGCUUCAUGUGUGUUAUUGCCCCUGAAGACCUUCCAGUGGUACAAGAUGUGGAGGAGGAAGACAGUGAUACUGAGGAUUCUGACCCUGUGUAGGCUUAGGCUAAUGUGUGUGUUUAUAUCUUAGUUUUUCACAAAAAGGUUUUUCCAAUGUUAAAAAAAAUAUAUAAAAAAGCUUAUAGAAUAAGGAUAUAAAGAAAUAUUUUGUACAGCUGUACAAUAAGCUAAGCAUUAUUACCAAAGAGUCAAAAAGUUUUAAGAAAUUAAAGUUUAUAAACCAAAUGUUCAUUGUGAGCCAAGGUUAAUUUAUUGAAGAAAUAAAACAUUUUUAAUGAAA